CAAUCUUUUUUACAUUUUUGAAAUGUUUUUUGUUUUGUUUUGUUUUC
This 47-nucleotide small RNA is filed under the name Arabidopsis thaliana (thale cress). RNAcentral describes it as "ATSL227940". The record is from RNAcentral. Lineage: Eukaryota; Viridiplantae; Streptophyta; Magnoliopsida; Brassicales; Brassicaceae.